This 957-nucleotide long non-coding RNA is filed under the name Pongo abelii (Sumatran orangutan). RNAcentral's name for it is "lincRNA". The record is from RNAcentral. Lineage: Eukaryota; Metazoa; Chordata; Mammalia; Primates; Hominidae.
GAGAAAAGGACAGUUAGUGCCUGGACCAGGACUAUCACACUGGGGACCGGCUUCUCUGCUCUCCCUUUAUAGGGGUCGGGGGAAUGAAGGGGCAAGGGUCUUCCGAAGAAAGCGAGAAAGGAACAGGCGCCUUCAAAAGCCCACUUGGCAUGGGUUACAGUAAGAGGGCCCCUCCCGGUUCAACGGUCUCCUAACCUGUAGUCACCCACAAGAGCGUGCCCUUUCUGCCCGCUCUUCCUAGCAUUGCUCCCUGCUUGGCUGAGCACUGCGGAGUUUCACGCCUCUAAACCCCGCCUCUUCUUGCAACCUGUGUUGGCCUCAUCUACCCAGCAACUGUCGACGUCACACGACCUGGGCCUCCCUGAAUGGGAGAUAUUUACUAGACAAUCCCGCCUACUGUUCUGAGGUUUCCCCUCCACGUGCCGCUUCAGAGCCAGGCGAGCCAGGAAGGACCAGCGGGCGAGGUGUUUCAGAGUGCUGGCCACACCAAAGCAUCAACCCCGGCUCUAAACCCCAUUACACUAAGGAAUUACAAAUCCUGUGUUUGUCCUCCAGGAAGUCUGCAUUAUCACGAGGAGCUUGGAAAGGAGGUAACACACUCAAGGCAAAUUUCAAGUAACUCAUCCUAGAGGCAGCUGCCUACUCUGCAGCUGUGGUUCUCCACCACAGAGAGAAGAAAAGGGAGGGAGAUGGAGUGUGCAGGUCUGAGAAGGCUUUCAUUCUGGAGCAUCUGCAGGAGCCUGCACCAUGGCCCAGUAGCACCCCUUUUUCUCCAUGAGCUGCUGGUGGGUUCCCCCCUCCCGGAUAGCGCCUCCUUCCAGAAAGAGGAUGUGGUCAGCCUGCUCCACCAGGCUGAGGUGCUGGGUGAUGAGAAGCACUGAGCGGGAGUACCGCUCAGGGCUUUGGUACAGGAGCUGCUCCACCUGAGGAAAGAUAUCGGACCGUCAGAGCUGGGGA